RNAcentral lists this long non-coding RNA (892 nucleotides) under Heterocephalus glaber (naked mole-rat). RNAcentral's name for it is "lncRNA (ENSHGLG00100037912.1)". The record is from RNAcentral. Lineage: Eukaryota; Metazoa; Chordata; Mammalia; Rodentia; Bathyergidae.
UCCUCACUGAGGCUGAGCUAAGCCAGGUGGUAUGACCUUGAACAUCCAGAACUGUGAGCUAGAAUAAGCCUCUUCACAAAGUACUGAGUCUCAGAUCCAAGAUUGAUUUCAAGAACUUCUGAGAUCGCUGUUCUUCUUGCAUUGAAAGUAAACCACAUGGCCCAGAUGUGAAAACUGGUUCAGAGACGUGUGACUACCUGCUGCCCAAGGUCACAGGGCAAGAGAAGGCCAUAUCAGUUCUGACCAAGGUCCCCUCUAUCCCGGUCCCUGUUCCUGUGGCUCAUGUAACCCUCACCCAGCCCCCGGGCUGUCACCUUCCCUGUCCUCCGGGGAGGGAUCUGUGACCCAGAGCAGUGCACUGAAGGAGCAGGUGCCUCUGAGACACCUGCAGCCCUGCCUCCUUCCUCCUACUGUGAGCUCUUCCUGUCAGGGAAGGGGAAGGAGAUAGGGACCAAGGUGUGACCUUGCCUGCUCUCCAGGUUCUGGCUCCCUCAGGGGACUCUAGGCGUGGGGUGAGUGGGGAAAGUCCCAAGCUGACAACCCAGGGACACUCUCAGCAACCUGUGGAAGCAGAAAGCAGCCCUGAGGGUCAGGGGGUGCUUCCUGGGAGAGAAGACAUCUGAGCUGGUGUUUACAGGUUCAGAAGUACAUUGGAUAACAUCCAACAUCUAUUUCUGAUAGAAACUCUGAGCAAAUAAUCAAGAUCCUGUGGUACCAUCAAGAGACAGAUAAAUCAGGGGGACAAAGUUGAAGGUUGAAAACUGUACACACUCAAAUAUGGAUAGCCCUUUUCACAAUUGCUAAGUGCAGAGCUGCAAAUGGCAGAUGCAAGGAGAGGUGCCAUUCAGAAGCACUUAGCAGCCUCAUCCAGCACUGAGCACCUACAACUGAG